Molecule: ribosomal RNA, 542 nt
Filed under: uncultured Sarocladium
Lineage: Eukaryota; Fungi; Ascomycota; Sordariomycetes; Hypocreales
Description: SSU rRNA
Rfam family: Eukaryotic small subunit ribosomal RNA
Source: RNAcentral
GGAGGGCAAGUCUGGUGCCAGCAGCCGCGGUAAUUCCAGCUCCAAUAGCGUAUAUUAAAGUUGUUGUGGUUAAAAAGCUCGUAGUUGAACCUUGGGCCUGGCUGGCCGGUCCGCCUCACCGCGUGCACUGGUCCGGCCGGGCCUUUCCCUCUGUGGAACCCCAUGCCCUUCACUGGGCGUGGCGGGGAAGCAGGACUUUUACUUUGAAAAAAUUAGAGUGCUCCAGGCAGGCCUAUGCUCGAAUACAUUAGCAUGGAAUAAUAGAAUAGGACGCGCGGUUCUAUUUUGUUGGUUUCUAGGACCGCCGUAAUGAUUAAUAGGGACAGUCGGGGGCAUCAGUAUUCAAUUGUCAGAGGUGAAAUUCUUGGAUUUAUUGAAGACUAACUACUGCGAAAGCAUUUGCCAAGGAUGUUUUCAUUAAUCAGGAACGAAAGUUAGGGGAUCGAAGACGAUCAGAUACCGUCGUAGUCUUAACCAUAAACUAUGCCGACUAGGGAUCGGACGGCGUUAUUACUUGACCCGUUCGGCACCUUACGGGAAAC